RNAcentral lists this ribosomal RNA (253 nucleotides) under uncultured bacterium. Its description in RNAcentral is "partial 16S ribosomal RNA". It matches the Rfam family "Bacterial small subunit ribosomal RNA", at positions 524 to 776 of the family's 1533-position model. The record is from RNAcentral.
UACGUAGGGUGCGAGCGUUGUCCGGAAUUACUGGGCGUAAAGCGCACGUAGGCGGACAUUUAAGUCAGGGGUGAAAUCCCAGAGCUCAACUCUGGAACUGCCUUUGAUACUGGGUGUCUUGAGUAUGGAAGAGGUGAGUGGAAUUCCGAGUGUAGAGGUGAAAUUCGUAGAUAUUCGGAGGAACACCAGUGGCGAAGGCGGCUCACUGGCCCGGUACUGACGCUGAGGCACGAAAGCGUGGGGAGCAAACAGG